RNAcentral lists this ribosomal RNA (478 nucleotides) under uncultured bacterium. Its description in RNAcentral is "partial 16S ribosomal RNA". It matches the Rfam family "Bacterial small subunit ribosomal RNA", at positions 28 to 507 of the family's 1533-position model. The record is from RNAcentral.
GAUGAACGCUGGCGGCGUGCUUAACACAUGCAAGUCGAACGAGAAGUGAAGACGGAAACCUUCGGGCGGAAGGCUUUAUUUCGAGUGGCGGACGGGUGAGUAACGCGUGGGUAACCUGCCUCAUACAGGGGGAUAACAGUUGGAAACGACUGUUAAUACCGCAUAAGACCACAGCACCGCAUGGUGCGGGGGUAAAAACUCCGGUGGUAUGAGAUGGACCCGCGUUCGAUUAGCCAGUUGGCGGGGUAACGGCCCACCAAAGCGACGAUCGAUAGCCGAUCGGGGAGAAGGCCCGGCCACAUUGGGACUGACACCCGCCCAAAACCCCUACGGGAGGCGGCGGUGGGGAAUUUUCAACAAGGGGGAAAACCUGGAGGCAGCGCCGCGGGGGGAGGAAAAAAUUUUUCGGUUAUGUAAACCUCUAUCAGAAGGAAAAAAAAGGAGGGUACCUGAUAAAGAGCCCCCGGCUAACUACGUC